This is a small nuclear RNA of Mesoplodon densirostris (Blainville's beaked whale), 107 nucleotides long. The record is from RefSeq and is a predicted model, not a curated record. Lineage: Eukaryota; Metazoa; Chordata; Mammalia; Artiodactyla; Ziphiidae.
GUGCUCGCUUUGGCAGCACAUGUAUUAAAAUUGGAACGAUACAGAGAAGAUUAGCAUGGCCCCCGAGCCAGGAUGACACGCAAAUUGGUGAAGCGUUCCAUAUUUUU